This 24-nucleotide microRNA is filed under the name Cordylochernes scorpioides. Lineage: Eukaryota; Metazoa; Arthropoda; Arachnida; Pseudoscorpiones; Chernetidae. The record is from RNAcentral.
CAACCGCUUCCAGACCCUCGACGA